RNAcentral lists this ribosomal RNA (390 nucleotides) under uncultured bacterium. Its description in RNAcentral is "partial 16S ribosomal RNA". It matches the Rfam family "Bacterial small subunit ribosomal RNA", at positions 338 to 745 of the family's 1533-position model. The record is from RNAcentral.
CCUACGGGUGGCUGCAGUGGGGGAUAUUGCACAAUGGGGGAAACCCUGAUGCAGCGACGCCGCGUGAGUGAAGAAGUAUUUCGGUAUGUAAAGCUCUAUCAGCAGGGAAGAAAAUGACAGUACCUGACCAAGAAGCCCCGGCUAACUACGUGCCAGCAGCCGCGGUAAUACGUAGGGGGCAAGCGUGAUCCGGCAUUAAUGGGUGUAAAGGGAGCGUAGACGGUUAUGUCAGUCUGGAGUGAAAUCCCGGGGCCCACCCCCGUGACUGCUUUGGAAACUGUGUAAAUGGAGUACAGGAGGGGCAGGCGCACUGCCUGGUGUAGCGGUGAAAUGCGUAGAUAUCAGGAGGAACACUGGGGGUGAAGGCGGCCUGCUGGACUGAAACUGACG